GAUGAAGAACGCAGCGAAAUGCGAUAAGUAAUGCGAAUUGCAGAAUUUCCGUGAGUCAUCGAAUCUUUGAACGCACAUUGCGCCUACUGGUAUUCCGGUGGGCAUGCCUGUUCGAGCGUCAUUAUCCUCCCUCAAACCCCGGGUUUGGUGUUGGACCCAAGUUGUGUGAACAACUGGUCUCAAAGACAAUGACGGCGUCCGUGGGACCCUCGGUGCAACGAGCUUUUAGGAGCACGCAUCGAGUUGCAAGGACCUUCCGGGCCGGUCUCCUUUACCAUUUUACAAGGUUGACCUCGGAUCAGGUAGGAAUACCCGCUGAACUUAAGCAUAUCAAUAAGCGGAGGA
This 345-nucleotide unclassified non-coding RNA is filed under the name soil metagenome. RNAcentral describes it as "partial contains 5.8S ribosomal RNA, internal transcribed spacer 2, and large subunit ribosomal RNA". The stretch from base 1 to 121 matches the Rfam family "5.8S ribosomal RNA", at positions 35 to 154 of the family's 154-position model. The record is from RNAcentral.